CAAAGACCAUUCAACCUGACAAACAUGCAAACUCAUCUUUUCUGCAUUACACUACAUCUCUUUUGUUAUUUUCUAUAUUUUCUGAACUUUUAAUUCCCAUAUUGUUCUUUACAUAAUUUAUGAUUGUGAAUGCCAAUUCUGUGAGCUUUCAAUUCUAAGGGGAUUAAUAAGAUAACAAAAAUAUGGCAAUGUAUUCAAUAAAACACAAAUCUUUUCCAUGAAUGUAUCUGGAUAAUUACUUGUUCAAUUACAUUUUUCAUGGUUUGUGCAUCAUAAUGCGCACUGAGUCAGAGACCUUAGGUGGAAUUUCAGAUUAGUUGUUGUUUAUUGCAUCUGCAUGAGCGAAUUGAUGUUGUUGAGGGUCAGAGAGUCACAAGUUAUUAAGUGUCAUUAGAUAUGAAAGAGAUAUCUAUCCAAAAAAAAAGCUCAUUCCUGUAAUUUACUGGUACCUUCAGUAUUGUGUCUAUCACACGUAAAAUUCAUGUGAUUAUGAAUCAGGGACACGUGGAUCUAGAUAAGUAGGACUUGGCCACAUGUAAAUGAUGUAUACUUCGUAUUUGAUUUCCGUAACUGAACCUGCUUGUGUUCUGAGAUUAAUGGGAAUGAAUUAUUGCCUCCCUGUUUUGCAUCAAUGCAUCCAUUUUUAUUAGGCUGAAUCAGGAUUUCUGCAGCAUGAUAUUUGUUUUGUUAGUGAUGUCUGGUAACUGAUGCAUUACAGGUAAGGUUUUUUUUCUUUGAUGUCUUUGUAUUCUUUUUUGUCUGGAGACUAAAAUGAAGUUAUUAAUGGUCUUUGGCAAUACCAUAAGUUCUAGUAUAUUUCAAAAAUUGUGGGGGAAGGCUUUUUUAUCAGUGUACCUUGCUAAAAAAUUAAAUAAGAUUAAAAUUUUAGAGUCAUUGAGAGGGAUGGGGCUUUGUCUAUAAUGGAUCUUUUAAUAGUGGGAACCCAACAUCUGUGAUAGAAGAUUUCUCGAAAAAGGUUCAAUGUGAUAAUAACAAGCUAAUUAGUUGGUUAGGAAGUACAAGUGAUUUAUCUAAUAUAAGAGUCAUAGACUCCAUCAUAUCCCUAUAGUGAUUAGUGCUCUUAUGUAGUGGUUAGAAAGAGUUUAUCUCUGAAUGAGAUUCGAGAUGGUAUUUUUCAUGAGAUGUGACUCUAUACACAUCCUUAGAGGGACUUACCUAUAUGAGAAUAUCCGUACAUAACUGCAAAUAUGAGAUUUGGGCUAUUUCUAGCAACUCAUGAAAAAUCAAAACAUAUGUGCAGAGCCAUUAAUGUAUAGACUAGCGAUGAAGAAACUCUGUACUAUAUAUGUAGUAGUUGAAGUCUAGAUUAAAGAAACAUAGUUCAAGAUCUGGUUCGCUUCAAUUCUUUUAGAUUGGAACUACUCAAACUAAGUAAGGUUAAAUUACCUUACCCAUUGUAUAGUAUAAGUACCCAGAAAUUUGUGUUAUUUUAUUUUAUAAUUUUUUAAAAAAUUUUAAAUUUUGUGG
Molecule: long non-coding RNA, 1488 nt
Filed under: Elaeis guineensis (African oil palm)
Lineage: Eukaryota; Viridiplantae; Streptophyta; Magnoliopsida; Arecales; Arecaceae
Description: long non-coding RNA (EGUI_LNC034053)
Source: RNAcentral